This 300-nucleotide ribosomal RNA is filed under the name uncultured Slackia sp. RNAcentral's name for it is "partial 16S ribosomal RNA". It matches the Rfam family "Bacterial small subunit ribosomal RNA", at positions 496 to 795 of the family's 1533-position model. Lineage: Bacteria; Bacillati; Actinomycetota; Coriobacteriia; Eggerthellales; Eggerthellaceae. The record is from RNAcentral.
GCUGACUACGGGGCGGGUGCGGCGGUGGGACGUGGGGUGCGUGCGUUGGUCGGAGUUAUUGGGCGUAAAGAGUUCGUGGGUGGUUUGUUGCGUCGGGAGUGAAAACACACAGCGUAACUGUGUGCUUGCUUUCGAUACGGGCAGACUUGAGGGAUGUAGGGGAGAACGGAAUUCCUGGUGGAGCGGUGGAAUGCGCAGAUAUCAGGAGGAACACCGGUGGCGAAGGCGGUUCUCUGGACAUUUCCUGACGCUGAGGAGCGAAAGCGUGGGGAGCAAACAGGAUUAGAUACCCUAGUAGUC